AUUGAACGCUGGCGGCAUGCCUUACACAUGCAAGUCGAACGGCAGCACGGGAGCAAUCCUGGUGGCGAGUGGCGAACGGGUGAGUAAUAUAUCGGAACGUGCCCAGUCGUGGGGGAUAACGUAGCGAAAGCUACGCUAAUACCGCAUACUAUCUAUGGAUGAAAGCGGGGGAUCGCAAGACCUCGCGCGAUUGGAGCGGCCGAUAUCAGAUUAGGUAGUUGGUGAGGUAAAGGCUCACCAAGCCGACGAUCUGUAGCUGGUCUGAGAGGACGACCAGCCACACUGGGACUGAGACACGGCCCAGACUCCUACGGGAGGCAGCAGUGGGGAAUUUUGGACAAUGGCGCAAGCCUGAUCCAGCAAUGCCGCGUGCAGGAUGAAGGCCUU
This 387-nucleotide ribosomal RNA is filed under the name uncultured bacterium. Its description in RNAcentral is "bacterial SSU rRNA". It matches the Rfam family "Bacterial small subunit ribosomal RNA", at positions 30 to 418 of the family's 1533-position model. The record is from RNAcentral.